UUUUUCCUACGGGGGGCAGCAGUGAGGAAUAUUGGUCAAUGGCCGAGAGGCUGAACCAGCCAAGUCGCGUGAGGGAUGACGGCCCUACGGGUUGUAAACCUCUUUUGUCGGGGAGCAAAGAGAGUCACGUGUGGCUCAUUGAGAGUACCCGAAGAAAAAGCAUCGGCUAACUCCGUGCCAGCAGCCGCGGUAAUACGGAGGAUGCGAGCGUUAUCCGGAUUUAUUGGGUUUAAAGGGUGCGCAGGCGGAGGUGUAAGUCAGUGGUCAAAUUGCGGGGCUCAACCCCGUACUGCCGUUGACACUGC
Molecule: ribosomal RNA, 305 nt
Filed under: uncultured bacterium
Lineage: Bacteria
Description: bacterial SSU rRNA
Rfam family: Bacterial small subunit ribosomal RNA
Source: RNAcentral